This 2015-nucleotide unclassified non-coding RNA is filed under the name Hevea brasiliensis (rubber tree). Lineage: Eukaryota; Viridiplantae; Streptophyta; Magnoliopsida; Malpighiales; Euphorbiaceae. The record is from RNAcentral.
GAAUAUCUUAACUUUUAUUGACAAGAAUUAACACGAACAUCCAACAAUUUGCGUUUCUGAUUUCUACAAUCAAUUGAGUGCUGUAGAAAUAGAGCUCAAAAUGAACAAAUCUGACUAGCUAUUGCUUCACCACCAGAGGACUCUUGACAAAGUGCUUGCCAUCUGACCAUACCAAUCUUCCAAAAACAUAAUCUCUAGGCCCAUAUGUUGAAGUACUUUUCAAAGUGACCUGGAAUGUCUUCUCUUCACCACUUCUUUUAAACUUCAAGUUCUUAGGUUUAACAAGAACUGAAACUCCAGGUGGUGCCUUGACAUAAGCGAAGUAUUCGCCAGGAGAUCCAACAUUCUUGACUCUUCGAGUCACUGUUACAGAUUCAUUGAGAUUAGGAACUGUGAUUGAAGGGUAGUUGAAGUCUGCCAAGCUGAAGGACUUGGGACAUGGGUAUGGCUUCCCUAAGAAUAACUUGAUUUGGCUUUGGUUGUACCCUCGGGCACACAAAAAGUUCAAGUAAUCAUUUUCUGUCAAGUCGUAAACUAGCCCUGGAUCCAUUGCUCGGUUUGGACGUAUGUGUCCUGCUCCGUAGUCGAAUGGAGUUGCCUUGAGAUUGGUUGCUGAAUCUAGAAUUGGCUCCAGAUUGUUACCUCUUGUUCUUGCAGAUGUCACGAUUGCAGAUCUGAUAGAAGCAGGACUCCAAUCCGGGUGGAGUGUUUUUAGAAGGCCAGCAAUACCAGAAACAUGAGGGCAAGACAUUGAAGUACCGGAGUCUGUGUUGAAGGAAAUCCUGCGCUUAUCAAAUUCUUCUCCAGAUGGGCUUACUGCUAAACUGAAAGAAGCAAUUAUAUCUACCCCAGGAGCAGUGAUAUCGGGCUUGAGGAUUGAAGGUUCCAUAAUAUUAGGUCCUCUUGAUGAGAAAGCAGCCAUAGAUGGAGCCGGCUUUGUUUCUAACUCUGUCUUUACACGAGUAAUGAAUGCCACAGGAAUCCUGGUCGAGUUGAUGUAAGCAAUAGCAGCUUGACCAUCAGUGAAAUUGACGUGUGCAGCAGGAAGCACGUGAGCAUCAGCUAUAAGUUCAUUGCCAGAAAAUUCAUCAUUAGCCAAAAUCAUUCCAACAGCGCCCGCAAGAAGAGCCUCUUCUCCCUUCUCUACUCUACCAGUUAUCCCUCGAAGGCACACCAAUAUUUUCCCUUUAACCUUCUUAGGAUCAAGUGUUCCAGGCAGACAAAGAGAAGCAUCUCCAGCAGAACUAUCAGCAGCAUUCGCACCUUCACCACUAAUCAGGGGAUAAAACUUUGCAGCUGGCAAGCCCUUUUCUGAAAGACUUGUACCCUUGAGAUGCCUCCGAUUGCCAAGUGCAACGUAGCUUGUGAACUCACGGUCCAAGGUGCUAGCACCAACAGUAAUCAACCAAGGAGCCGAAUUUGUUACAGUAAGUGGGGCUGGUCCUGCAUUGCCAGCUGAGGCAACCACCACAAUGCCCUUCCUUGAAGCAUGGAAGGCACCAAUUGCGAUCGAAUCCUCAAAAAAUUCAGCAGGAGUAUCACCGCCAAGUGAAACCGAUAUCACGUUGACUCCAUCACUUAUUGCAGCAUCAAAAGCGGCCAUAAUAUCAGCAUCAAAGCACUCACCGCUGCCAUUUACCGGCGGCCAGCACACCUUAUAAGCAGCCACACGAGCAUUUGGGGAUCCACCACUGGCUGUCCCAUUUCCAUUUCCAAAAACAUUAGCUCCUGGAACAAAGUUUCCACCUGCUGUUGAGAGGGUAUGAGUUCCAUGCCCUGAAUCAUUGUCCCUUGAAGUGUUGUAAGUUGAGUUUAGAGGGCCAACAAACGCAGCAUAACCUUUGUUGAAGUACCUUCCUCCAAUUAGUUUUCUGUUGCAACGAAAGCCAGCCGUGUCUUGCUGACAGAUUCCUCGCCAAUUGGGUGGGAUUGGACCCAGUCCCUCGUCACUAAAGCUCUUAGACUCAGGCCAAACACCUGAUAAAAAAAACUCUAAUAAAAAUCAUUUUUAAAAA